GCAGAAAUGCAUUUUCAUCAAUUAGUGCUCUCAUCUCCCUUUGUGCUCAAACACAAGGCUACAUUCAGACUUCAGGACCCGAAUGGCCUGAAUAGGGGCAGAAACACCUAAUAUAUGUGAGUGGUGGGAAAAUAAAUCUAUGAAACCUACAAACAGGGCAGGCUUGACUUACUAGUGGUUCAGCUUGGGACUUAGAAAUCCAAAAUAACCAACAUUUUUCCUAGGGCCUUUCCUACUCUCCAAGUGCCUUUUGUAAUGUGAAAUCCACAUGCUCCUGCUACACUUUUUUUAUGAGCACAAGCUGCCGGGACGCAAAGCCCUGGCUCAGCUGGUAGCACUUUGCAGUAAUAUGCUGGAAUCCUGAGCCUGGGAGCGAGCUCUGGCUUCCUGCUGUGAGGACCAGCAGAAGCUACAUGCAUUACUGCGGUAAUGCACAGCCCCGGGGGAACAGGAAAAGGAGAGAAGGGUGCGCCAGGGGAAAGGGCAGUUUGUAGUUCUCCCCAGAGCCCCAAACAGUUGCUAAAGAACUGCGUCCACAUGAACUUCAGGUAAAAACAGUCUCUUUACUGUCCCUGCUUGGAAUGGAGGCUGAAGGAGGAGUUAUGGAAGAAGCAAAAACAGAAAAUCCCUAUCAACCAGAAAACCCCCUGAUUUGUGCCUUCUUUGGAUGAAUCAGCCAGUAUUACAUAUCGACAAGCACCGGUUUAACAAUAAAGUGUGACGCUGAUGGUGACACCACCACAAUGAUGUGAGGCACCAGGGGAUAUCUAAAGAUCGCAUUGGCUGAAAUACUCGCUGCUUGAGACGCAACCUAUGCUGUCCGGUUGAAGGAUGCCGCACAAAAAUGCCAUGAUCUUCCGGACUUGGCACAUGCCUCGAGAAACCAACCACAUCGCAGUCUGGUCUUGAAGGGGUGAAUUACCUGAGCUGUGCCCGAAGCUUUAAAAUUUAGGCUCCAUAUGUU
Long non-coding RNA from Alligator sinensis (Chinese alligator), 964 nucleotides. RefSeq lists it as uncharacterized. NCBI's taxonomy places the organism in Eukaryota, Metazoa, Chordata, Crocodylia, Alligatoridae. The record is from RefSeq and is a predicted model, not a curated record. The transcript is spliced from 4 exons.